This 254-nucleotide ribosomal RNA is filed under the name uncultured bacterium. RNAcentral describes it as "partial 16S ribosomal RNA". It matches the Rfam family "Bacterial small subunit ribosomal RNA", at positions 524 to 777 of the family's 1533-position model. The record is from RNAcentral.
UACGUAGGGGGCAAGCGUUGUCCGGAAUUAUUGGGCGUAAAGAGCGUGUAGGCGGUCCGGUAAGUCAGCUGUGAAAGUCAAGGGCUCAACCCUUGAAAGCCGGUUGAUACUGUCGGGCUAGAGUCCGGAAGAGGCGAGUGGAAUUCCCGGUGUAGCGGUGAAAUGCGCAGAUAUCGGGAGGAAUACCAAUGGCGAAGGCAGCUCGCUGGGACGGUACUGACGCUGAGGCGCGACAGCGUGGGGAGCAAACGAGG